Molecule: long non-coding RNA, 1641 nt
Organism: Cyprinus carpio (common carp)
Lineage: Eukaryota; Metazoa; Chordata; Actinopteri; Cypriniformes; Cyprinidae
Source: Ensembl
AAGCCAUACAGGCCAUAGUAAAAUGUUAUUCUUUCCAUUUUUGCUUAUGUUGAAUUCAUAAAAGAUUAGAUGUUUUGAUUCUGUCAUAAACACAGGUUUAACCCAGACUGAGUGAUAUUAUUCAAUGACUUCACAUGUCGACUUUUUAAAAAUAGCCCACUAAUUUCCAGUUAGUUUAGAUAGCUGUUAGCUACUGUCAACUAACAGACGAACUUAAAAAUGCUUAAAACAGUACACUAAAGUUCUCGUGGUAUAUUUGAAGUGCUAAAGAUAUAGGCCUAGGUGUUUUGUCGAAUUCUGAUCCAGAUCCUGACAAGGCGCGCUAGCAUAUGCACCUGCAAGCUCUUUGAUGGUUUUAACAAUUAGCCUAUAGAUGUGCAAUUGAAUCUUGUUACGUGUAAGCUUCGUAUACGCCUCUACCUAAAAUCUGAUUAGCCUAUAUGGAUAAGUUGCGUUUAUUUCUUUGCGUAUUCGCGGAUAGAACGAAACCGACGAGCUUUCUUUUUAGUCUUCCCAUAUGCCAAUUCAAAACAGCGAGCGAAUUAAGAUGGGCGUAACUCUAAAUGGAUCAUGCACGCGGACUUUGGAACAAUAACUCAUCAAUUCACGAUGAGAAGCCGUUUAAGCGCGAGCUGCUUGAGUUUCUGCACACGUCCACGCACGGGGACCAGCGACAGACUCGAUCACAGUAGUCCUCGGAGUAGUAGUAGCACUGGAUACUUGGCAGGAAUCUCGAGAACAUGUUGUGCACUUGAGCGUCAGAUCACUCAAGCCAGAAGCCAAUGGCUGUUUGCAACUAAUUGACAUCAGUGCUUUUCGUGACGUAGAUGCGAGUUAUUCUCGGGAAUAGUUCAUGGUUUUAACAAAUGCAUUGCUGCAAAGACCUCCGCCUUUACCAGUUUUUGACAUUUGCUUGUGGAUUAGAUUCUAUGGUGUUAUGGAUCACCUCAAGUUUGGCACUCAGAGAUGAGGGUUCAUCAUUGUCCACUAAGAGGAAAAGGAGACCUUGGGAAUCAGUGAUAAAACACAGAAAUGAACUGACCUCAGAUCAGGUGAGUGAUUUGGUAUUGUCAUGCACUCUCAAUAUGACCUUGACUUUCAUUUUGCAUGAGGUUGCAUGUUUAAGAGACAAAUAUGUAACAGGUUCUCUCACCGUUGCUGCAUAUAUGACUUGUAGGAGUAGGUUUGUUUAUAUCCUUUACGGGGAAGUAGCAUAUAUAAGCAUAUGAAUCCCUCAUGAAUAAUAACCAUAUAUUAUUUGCGCUUAGAAACAUGAGUAUAUGAUGCCCGGUAGUGUACACAUUUUUAAACUAAGUAAUUUUUUUGACCACAUAUUCUGUAUUUAUAUCAAGGGAACGUUUUUGUUAAGAUAUUGUGGUGAACUGACUUCCGCGAGACAUCAAAACGGGUUUCUUUUUCCCCAAAAAAUGCUGGAUGGCAAACAUAGGAGGGAUUACUAUGGCAACAGCGUUUGCCCUUGCUCAUUGGUGGUAAGGAGUAAAGCAGACUUAUAUCACAUGACUCCAGUCAGAGUCGUAUCCUGCAAGGCAUUGGCUUACAUGUUCGUUGGAUGCACUGUAUUUCGUAUUUUCUCCCAUUAAGCACCAAUACUUUUUUUUCUGCUUGGUUUUUUGGAGUCAG